This 77-nucleotide transfer RNA is filed under the name Planctomycetota bacterium. RNAcentral's name for it is "tRNA-His". It matches the Rfam family "tRNA". From Rfam's summary of the family: Transfer RNA (tRNA) molecules are approximately 80 nucleotides in length. Their secondary structure includes four short double-helical elements and three loops (D, anti-codon, and T loops). Further hydrogen bonds mediate the characteristic L-shaped molecular structure. tRNAs have two regions of fundamental functional importance: the anti-codon, which is responsible for specific mRNA codon recognition, and the 3' end, to which the tRNAs corresponding amino acid is attached (by aminoacyl-tRNA synthetases). tRNAs cope with the degeneracy of the genetic code in two manners: having more than one tRNA (with a specific anti-codon) for a particular amino acid; and 'wobble' base-pairing, i.e. permitting non-standard base-pairing at the 3rd anti-codon position. Lineage: Bacteria; Pseudomonadati; Planctomycetota. The record is from RNAcentral.
GUGGGUGUAGCUCAGUUGGUUAGAGCACGAGGUUGUGGUCCUCGGGGUCGCGGGUUCGAAUCCCGUCACUCACCCCA